Non-coding RNA from Meleagris gallopavo (turkey), 838 nucleotides. The record is from RefSeq and is a predicted model, not a curated record. NCBI's taxonomy places the organism in Eukaryota, Metazoa, Chordata, Aves, Galliformes, Phasianidae.
CUACACUCUUUUCUACAGUUAACAAAGCUAUCUUAUUCUCUUUGAACCACUGAACACUAAGAUUUCAGAAAACAAUAACUACCACUCACUGUUAUCCAACAUGACAGCAAAGCUUCAGAAUUUGAAUGUCAAGCUAUUAUAUCACCAAAGCAUGUCUAUAGUACUUGCAAUUGUCAAAAAUCCAAAAGCUGAAUGUAAAUGCAACUCUCAAUUAUCAAUGAGAAUAAACUUAAAAAAAAAAAAGCAAAACAAUACUAAAUACAGCUAUUAAAUCAGAAUUUCUUUCCUCUAUCGAUUUAAAUCACAAUUACAACCCUGAAUUAAAUAAAGCAAUCCCAUUUCACAAUCUGGAUUCUAAUUACAGAUGGUUCUAUUUUUCAGCAUACACAUCCUGCACACAUCGAUGAGCAGCUUAAAAGAAGCAAGCAUCAUGGUACACCUGAUGGCAUCUAUCUGAAAUGAUCGGUUCAGUCUGCAGAAGCAUCAACGGGUGGGAGAGAACCUAUCCAGGAAGAGUCAUAAAUAACUUCUUAUUCAUCAGCAGAAAUAAGUCCAGCCAGCAAACGCUCCCUGAAGAUUCUUUUUUUGAAAAACUUCAAACUACCAAACAAGGAAAAGCCACUGGCUGAACACAGGAUACAAAGAACAUCUUUAAUUACUAUCAUAGCUUUUGACAUCAAGAGCUACCUGCAUAGAAGCAAAACAUUCACUGGAAUUGAGGAAAUAAAAUACUGAAAUGCCACUUGCUAAGCUCUGCAAAUACUUAAAGGAAUUAUCAGAGUAAUGUACCAUCGGGUGUAAAGCAUGCAUUCACCUGGAGAAAUUAAAAAAAAAAAAA